This 436-nucleotide unclassified non-coding RNA is filed under the name Hevea brasiliensis (rubber tree). The record is from RNAcentral. Lineage: Eukaryota; Viridiplantae; Streptophyta; Magnoliopsida; Malpighiales; Euphorbiaceae.
UGCACAUUGGCACAGCGUUUAUGUUCUUUGUUCAGACUUCAUGUCAUUAGUGAUAUCCAGUUACUCAGUUGUGGACUGGAAGCACCCCAAACACCAAACCACACCCCCCACCCCCCUCCUCGCUCCCUACCUUUCCUCCUGCUCCUCUUCUCCCUCUCUCUCACAACAAAAUCAAAACCUUUCUGCAUUGGAUUUUUUUUUUUGUUCCUGUGCACAUUGGCACAGGGUUUAUGUUCUUUGUUCAGACUUCAUGUCAUUAGUGAUAUCCAGUUACUCAGUUGUGGACUGGAAGCACCCCAAACACCAAACCACACCCCCCACCCCCCUCCUCGCUCCCUACCUUUCCUCCUGCUCCUCUUCUCCCUCUCUCUCACAACAAAAUCAAAACCUUUCUGCAUUGGAUUUUUUUUUUUGUUCCUGUGCACAUUGGCACAGG